Callithrix jacchus (white-tufted-ear marmoset) is the source of this 5210-nucleotide non-coding RNA. The record is from RefSeq and is a predicted model, not a curated record. Lineage: Eukaryota; Metazoa; Chordata; Mammalia; Primates; Cebidae.
GCUCGGGGAGGAACCUGCGGCGGCGGUUAGGGGCGGAACCUGAGAGUGAGGUGUCUGAUCGGGGCGGGGCCUUCGGGGGCUGAGUCGUCUGUGGGUGGAGCCAGCUCGGGCCGGGCCCUCCACCGCCCAUUACCACCGAGUGCGACCCGGGGUCCUAGAGCGGCCGCCGGAAGGGGCGGGUCAGCAGGCGGGCUCUUUCUGCGAGUGCUGAGGGCCAACCGGGACGCGGGCGCGGAGGGGUCGUGGGUCCCGCGAAGAGGGUGCGCCUUUCCCGUCCUCUGCCCCCGCGAGGGGCGCGCCCGCCCCGCCCCGCCCUCCGGCAGUCCUGGUAGGGCCCGGGAGCGUCCGCGCUCUGCAGCGGCAGGUCCUCAUCGCCCCUCGCCUCCAGCCAGGUACUCACUGGGCCCCCGCCCGUCGCCUCCGUCCCAGGUAGCGCGGCGUCGGGAUGGGCCCCGCGGUCUCCCCGCGCCCGGCCCUCCAGGGAGGGAGCGAAACCCGACUCUGAGCACCUCCCAGGCCCCGGCCCCGGCACCGAGGCCGACCUGGCUCCGCACGCUGGCCGCGGGACCUCUUAAGUAGGAGCACGCAGGAGACGCUGGCGGGCCCCUCCGCCUGGCUCAGAGGCCUGGGAUCUCAGGCCUUGGCACAGCUAGCUGGCCCCUGUUAGGCCGUACCUGCAGAGCUGCGCUUCUCCACCUCAGCCCUGCCCAUGAGGCAAACGGAGCUGGUCGACGGGUCUUUUGUGUUGGUUCUUGGUUCUCACCUUUGUUUCCUACCAGAGCUGGACCCCAGCCUCAAACUCCAGCCAGCUUGGGCCCCAGGGCUCCGCCUGCCCACCCCAGCAGAGAUGCUGCAUCCUCCCUCAGCACACGUGGCCUUCAGCUUUGGUUCUGACUCCACCCAUACACCACCUCUAGAGAGAGCCCUAGAAAGUGACGUUGGCCUGAAACUGAGUCACAUUCAUCUAAACAUUUUCCUGUAAAAAAGACCAGACUCUCCCCUUGUUGAGACAGGAAAUCUGUUUACAUGUUACCUGCACUCCUGAGGGAGAAGAGGAAAGGCCACAAACCUUGUCUCAACAAAGAGCAUUCAAGGUAUUUAUGUGUUGAAACAUGUCAUUUGCAACAUGUGUUUCAAUUCCAUUUUCCACUUAGGCUCAACCCUGGCUUCAAACUCUAGCCUGUUUAACAAAACAGCUAAUACAAAGGGUACGCAAUAAUUGUAUUACUUAGAAUACGACUGAGCAUGGUGGCUCACACCUGGACUCCCAGCUACGCAGGAAGCUGAGGUGGGAGGAUCGCUUAAACCCAGGAGCUUGAGCCUUCAGUGAGCUGCAGUCAUGCUGCUGCACUCUAGCCAAGACAUCAGGAAGAACCUGUCUCAAGAAGAGAAAGAACGCAGCUAUGGGCAAGGGGAUGGUGGCCCUUGGCCUCCUGCAGAGUGUUGGCCCCAUGCUGCGAGCGUGGAGAGGUGCGUGGGAAGCAAACCGUCCUUGAGGAAGUGGCGCCAGCAGAGAGAAGCCAGCAGCCCCCUAGCCCUCAACGCUUCCAAGGAACAGAGAACGAUGGAGAAAUCUGCAAGCAGAAGAAAAAGGACAGCAACCCCAAGGGAGGAAGCAGACGGGCAGAAGAGCGUGCUCAGAGAGGAGAAAGCGUCCAGGGAUAGGAAGCCACCUGAGAGACCCGCUGUGCCCAGGAAGCCCCGAGCAGAGCCCCGCCUGAGUCCUGAAGACGAAGAGCACAUCUUUGAUGCCUUCGAUGCUUCAUUUAAAGACGACUUUGAGGGGGUUCCCGUGUUCAUUCCUUUUCAGAGGAAGAAACCCUACGAGUGCGGUGAAUGCGGGCGGAUCUUUAAGCACAAGACAGACCACAUUCGCCAUCAGAGGGUCCACACCGGAGAGAAGCCCUUCACAUGUGCGCAGUGCGGGAAGGCCUUCCGACACAGCUCUGACGUCACCAAACACCAGCGGACUCACACGGGGGAGAAGCCCUUCAAAUGCGGGGAGUGCGGGAAAGCCUUUAACUGCGGCUCCAAUCUCCUGAAACACCAGAAGACGCACACCGGGGAGAAGCCAUAUGAGUGCGUGGACUGUGGGAAAGCCUUUGCCUACAGCUCCUGUCUCAUCCGUCAUCGGAAACGCCACCCUCGGAAGAAUCCCUGAGCUGGGGCCACCACCUGCAGACUCGGACGCCUGCUCCGUGGCUCCCUGGUGUUGGGCAUCUGGUGGAGGUGCUGGGCCAUGUGUGCUGUGUUCUGUGCUGUGGGGGACCCCCAGAAAAUCAGCCUGGUCAGAGGUGAGAAUGCCUGAGUGAGUGAGAGACCUUCCCACUGCAGAGAAUCUCUAGAUCAAGACGCUGCAGUCAUGUGGAAGCCACCAGAGGCUCAUCAGGUGUAUUCACUGCCAUCCACGGGAUGGGCUUGGGUCACCUCACAGUGCCCAGCAGGAGAGGCUCCUGGUGUGCUGGGCACCCACCACUUCCCGCUGCUGCCUGCCUGUAACAUCCACUCUGCUUAAGCCUUUUAUCUGCCCCUGAAGGCCCCAGUCUGUGGACUCCCCACCUGCUGGGGCCCCAAGCCCUGCAGCAAGCCCCAGGACCACUCCUCUCUGCCUUGCCAGCUUCAGAGCCCGGGGCCACUCGUCCCUGCCUGGCCAGCUUCAGAGCCUGAGGCUGCUCGUCCCUGCCUUGCCUUUGUGCCCAAACUGUGCUUGGUUCUCUGGCUUCUCUCCUCUGACUGGAGCACCAGUCCCUGAGCUCAGACCCCCGUCCCCAGAACUGGGCCACACGACGUGCCCUCUUGGCCCAUCCUUCAUCCCAGACAGGCUGCCUGACUUACCUGGAUGGACUUCUUGGGACAAAGGCUCCUCAGGACCUUGGACACCGCUACUGGCUGAGUUUCCUGCCCCAGCCACCUGGUGAGGCCCCCGGGGUGCCCUCGGCAGCUCAGUCCAGCCUGCGUCUGCCACUCGGUCUUCCAAUGUGGGCAGUGGGCCCCAGCCCCACGAACCAGCCCAUCAUUCAGGUCCAAUAGGAUGGACCCCAGAUGUGGAAUGACACCUCACCAAGUGCCAGCCCCAGGUCCUGCCCACAGAGAUGCCUGCAGCAGCGCACAGCUGGCAGGGCCACCUCUGCCUCUCUAGUAGCGGGCAGGCUGGUAGAGCAGAUUAGCCCCAAAGCAGGAAAUUCCAGAUGAAAUAUGCCUAAGAAGCAACCUCAAAACUAACAAAAAGAAACUGCCUGCUCUUCAGUUCGGAGGAGGAGCAGAGAUGAAGAAAAAGAGAAGAAACACACUCGGAAAAGAGAAAAGGAACCUCCUGUGCGGCGGGCUCCUGCCCUGGGAGGGCGGCCUGCAGCAGAGUGCAUGCAGGGAGGCACCCGCUGAAACGCCUGGAAAUAGCUUCAGGGCUUUCAUUUGGCUCCCAAACUACUUCUGAGGCCCAAUCAUCACAGUGGCCAACCUGGCAGCAGUGAGCUCGGCACUCAGUGUCCUCAGGCUGCUACAAAGCCGUCCUACUUGGGCAGUGGGUGUGGGCGGGGGCUCCUGACUCCAGUGAGGCCACCCUGGAGGGGAGUCCCAGGAAUCAACCUGAUGUUCAGAAGUGUACUGGGGAGGCUGAGGAUCCUUGAGCCAAGUGUCCGUGUUCUCAUUGAACAUUUAACACACAGCCCACAAGCUUCUCAGGAGCAUGGCGCAUGCACACCAGCCCCAGGCUUCGCCUGGGCAGCACUUCCUGGGCCGCCCUGACCAGUGGGCACCACCCACCCAGCCUCGCUCAGCCGUCCUCGGCCACCCUGACCAGCAGGCACCACCCUCCCAGCCUCAUUCGGCUGGCCAGGCUCUGCGGGCCUGAGAAUGCAGAGAACCUCCAAAUGUUGUGACUUUGCUCUGUGCGUCCUUUGUGCAAGCAUUUGUGAGCUAUGCCAGCAUCUGUCCCCACAGGCCUCAUCCCUGAGCCAUUUCUCAGGAGAGCAGUAAGAGGGGGUUCCCAGCCAGCCCCAGGACCAGAGGUCUGGGGACGACACCGGCCACUACGGCAGAGCCCUCCUCAUCUGGGCCUUUGUUUCCUUUUCCACACCAGGAAGCAGGAAGGUCGAUUAGCAAUGUAGGCUUGUUCCCUCUGGUGGGGUUCACCUGCGUUUCUGGGGAGCCCUGGGUGCACCUGGGCUCUAUUUCCGGUGAUCUCUCCUAUGGGUCCCGUCUUGGGCACCAAGAUGUUUUUUUCCUGUGAGCUGAUGUCAAAACCUGCUGUAGUGGAAGACUGGCCUUGGGGGCAGUGUCUCCAGGGGAGCAGAGCUGAGGCAAUGGCGGGCAUGGUGUCUCCAGAGACUAGGGAACAUGGGGUGUGCUCCAGAUGAGCCGGCAGGGAGCCCCGGGCCUGCAGAGCCUGGUGUUGGCGCUCUCCUGUUUCCUCCGAAAACCCAGCCAUGUGUUCAGGGAGCCCGGCCCAAGCAGACGGCCCCCACAUUGGCAGAAUCCCCAGGAUCAGGCAUGGCGGUGGGGGCGACUCCACAGCCGGGACUGGGCCUGAUGCUGCUGUCCCUCUGUCACCACUGCAGGUAGCUCAGGGCAGGGCUCCGGCCUGAUGGGGGAUCCUGGACGCACCUCUGAGCCGGCAGCCCCUACCCCCACCUGCACGCCGGCACCUUACAUGCCUGUCUCACUCUGGGGCCCAGGUGCAGGUUUGUGGGGACGCAGCACCGUGUUCCCAUGACCUCUGCUCAGCCGAGUGGGUUCACUGAGGGUUUUCCGUUGGCGCCUGUCCCCGUGUGCCUGUUUCCUGGUGAGGCUGGACGCCCGGCACGUCCAAACACUCACAUUCCCCAGGCACACAUGUGCAGUGGCCACCACGCGUGCACUGUGAUGCUGACCCCCCAUAACAGCCGCGGUCUUGGCCUUGCGCUGGUGGCAAAUGUUGUCCCGUUUCCCACUGUUACUUCUGUUGUCCAAAAGUUUGACCGUCCUGCCAGCCAAAGCUGUUGAGCUUUACUCUGACAGACCAUCCGUCCUUUCAGUACCCUGUGCAUUUGGGAAAAGCAUCCAUUUGUUCUCAGCCGCGUUUCCUGUGACUUGCUCUGCGUGUGUCCUCCUCUGUUUUCGGGGGUCACUGUGGUGGUUCCCAGGGGGCCCGAGGUGCCCACUGCUGAUGCCUCCCUUCCCUGCUGCUUGCUGGCUUCUGUGUUCUCUGCAGUAAACAUUGAUUUCUGACUCGA